This is a non-coding RNA of Paramuricea clavata, 439 nucleotides long. The record is from the annotation of a GenBank genome assembly. Lineage: Eukaryota; Metazoa; Cnidaria; Anthozoa; Malacalcyonacea; Plexauridae.
GCGCACUGACAUGUCGUUAAUCGAUCACCUGAUAUAUUGAUUAUUCAACGUAUUCACCAGAAAAUUCCGAGUAUGCAUUUGUAUAACUCAGUAACUCUACUAUGUUGUAACUACAGUAAAAGCAAACAAUAUUUUUCCCCGUACAACAACAUCAAAGCCAUAUCAUUGGCUAAUAUCAACAAUCUUUAUUAAUGAAGCUAUUAUUGAACCAAUAUAUCCAACAGAGCGAUUAACCAUUGUUCUUGAAAUUCAAUUGCGGUUAUUUUAAGUGGCUUGAGAAUAUUCUCGAUGACAUACUUUGCAUUUUAUAGUUGUGUACAUAUAGCACCCAACAGUCAGAACUGCUUCAUCAUUUGCAAAGGGAGAGCCACUACGUAUACAUCUAAUCUUGUUCAGACCGCUCAGAUUUUAAAGCAAUAUGUCGGUAAGUUUAUACGAU